Molecule: long non-coding RNA, 4145 nt
Filed under: Homo sapiens (human)
Lineage: Eukaryota; Metazoa; Chordata; Mammalia; Primates; Hominidae
Description: HSALNT0367219
Source: RNAcentral
CAAAAGCAAGAAAACGUGUUUCAGUACAGAAGCUAACAGGGCAGAAAUAGCUUACAAACAAACUUAAUACCGCCAAGGUUACACAAAAGGUUCGCUUCUGCUUUGAACAACAUUUUCACAUUAAACAUGUUCACAUUAAAAACUGGAUUAGAGAGAAAGAGAGGAAAAGAGGGACACCAUAUAAAACAUAAGAUAAAAGCAUACAUAGGGAGUUUUUUAAAAACCAAAUACCUGAAAAGAAUUACAAAUUUUACAAUUAUUGCUGAACUCAAAUUCAUAGCUGGUAUAGGUCCUUUAUCUAUUUAGGUACAUGCCUUUUCAUUAUCAUUUCUCAUUGAGUUAACUUGCUUAAUGACUGUGACUUUUACUGUGAAAAAGUGAUCCUCAAAGUGUAUUCUCAGACCACUAGCAUCAGCAUCACCAGACAACAAGUUAAAAAUGCAAAUUCCCAGACCUCAUCUCAGACUGAAUCAGAAUCUGGGGAUGGGUUCCAGCAACCUGUGAUUCAGCAAGCAUCAAAUGAUUCCGACAUGCACUAAAGAGUGUUUUAUGCUCAUAAACAAAAAUAUGAAGUUGACAAGUCCCAUGGAUUUUAACAGAGACUCUGUUCUCUAAAUCAAAGUUGUUCAUGCUGUGUUAGCAUUUUUCUUAUUUCUUCAAAAGUUAUGUAACUGUAUCAUAGUCAGAAUUUCAUUCUUUGCAUCAGCAAAUACUUUGGUUUAAAAGCAAGCCUGAAUUUUAAUAUUCAAAAUGAAAUUAAAUGAAAUAGAGAUAUUCCAUACAUCACAAAUAGAAAGCUAGUUCUAUAUUCAUUCAUUCAAUCAGUCAGUCAUUCAACAAAAAUGCCUGUGUUUAUAAUAAGUUCUCACUCUGUGAGCAAUUAAUGUAGGCCAAUGUCAUCAUGCCAGGAGUUUUACAGGCUUAUUACCUCAUUUAAUACCCACAGUAACUGUACAUAGAAGGUACCAUUAUCAAUCCAUUUUAUGAAUGAGAAAACUGAAUAUUAGGGAGAUUGAAUAACUUGCUCAAGUUUGCAGUUAACAGAUGGAAGAGCCCAGACCCUAACCAAGCUCUCUCUCACAGCAAAUUCCAUGUUCUUGACCACCACCAAGACUGCUCGCCAUGUGUUCACCGAGCCUUGUGUAUUGAGACUGACUUGGAACAGAUCUUUCCAAGCCAGUGUAUCAGGCCACUAAAUCUGUCACUAUGGGUUUGCCUAAAUCACUCAGACUAUGUCUAUUUUCACACGAAAUGGCUCUUCUAGUCCUAAUUUAACUUUAGUUUAAAUUAAUAUAAAACAUCAGAAUUUCUGAACUAGAAACAAUGUUAAUAACCAUCUAAAAGGUAGGAGAUGACUCAAAUAAGUGGGGCUCUGGAUUUUACUUCUUUACUUCAGAACAAUCCUACUUUUAUCCAUUUUGUAUAUUGGGAUUCCAGGAGUGAUCUCUUUUGAAGAAAGUUCUGCUGCAUAAAAAUCAAGUGUAAGGAGCAAUGAAUUUUAAUCCAAGCUUCUCAUCUUACAUAUAAGGACACUAAGGCUCUAGGUCACCCUUAAUUUUGACAAGCCCAGUUCUCUGCCUCUGUCUGAUGUUCUUUCUCCUAUAUCACAAUGUACAUGUGCUGUGUUUGUCUUAAAGACCUCAGAGAGCAGAAUCUAUCCAAGUGGUAAAAAUACUGGCAGCCAAGAAUGGGUCUACCUACCACCUGGUAGUUUACAUGCAAAGGGGAAUAAAGGAAGCCAAAUGACUGUAAGUUUCUUGCAUAAUCCACACCAGAAAGCAUUGCCUACAGACUGUAACUGCCCGCUAUUGACUCUGUUGCUUCAUGAUGAAUGCUGGAUGAAACAUCUUCAAAUUCUACCUGAUUUAUGUAUGAUGUCAACAUGACUUAAGGUAAGGGCAAAAUAUGUGUUUUAUUUUCCUUACUUGGAUUCCCAUUAAUAUAUUAAACACUUUCACCAUUAAUAACAGUUCAUUGGCAUUUUAGCAGAUCUACAGAACUGUGAUUCAUGACUACUGUCACUUCAUCUUGAAUUUCAUCAGUUAAAGUAAAUUUGCUUUCAAUUAGUUGUUUUAGUUUUAUAAAUGAUCAAAAAUCAAUUUUGAUUACAAUGACAGUCGUAGGCCACAUAUCACUCUGCGAACCUGCAUAAUAUGCACUAAGCUUUACUCUUCUCAUUCUGUAAUUUAUGCUUUUAUGUAAAAUCAUAGCAUUCUGAGAAGUGCCCAAGAAAUGUGAUAUUACAGGUAAUUCAUAAUGUCUAGAAGUAGGCAUUUAGUAAUCAGAUUUUCCAUUUGGCUGAUGGAUAAUGCAAUUUAAUUUUUCAAGGGAAAAUAAUUCUAAGUAGAGAUGGCAGAUUUAAGCAGAAAUAGAAAUUAUAUUAUUUCCUUAAGAGUAAGUAAGUAUACAUAGAGGGAGGGAAAAGAGAAAACAUGUCUUCAUGGACUAGGAUGUCAUUAUACUCUUGUCAUUAUACUCUUGUCAUUGUCAUUACAAAACAACAGUGCAGGCUCACACCUUCAAUGUUUGGUAGGGCGGCUGUAAGUCACACUUACUUAGUUUUGUUCACUGGAAUCAGAGAUGGUGUCAAAGCAACGUGGCAAGUCAGGUCGAGCCUGCGGGAUGGUAUUUUGAGCCCAUGUGGAAGACUUAAUGAAAUGUGCAGAAUUUUAAUCUUUUGCAAAUUCCAGCGAGAACACUAAACUAAAACACGACUAAUGACAAGUUCAUUACCUCACAUUCGAGGUACAUAAGGCAGAUAAUUUCAUACGGCUUUGCUAAAUGCCUUUAAAUUCCUGGCAAAACAAAAGCACAACCUGCAUGUCAUGCAGUCACUCUACGCAACGCCAAUAAAACUAUAGUCAGUGCUGCCUACCAGGUAGCAAUCUGUCAUUCUUGCUCUAAACCCUAUUGAAAGGCUGUGCAAAGCUUUGUAAUCCUGUAACACGUGGAGGAGGAUGUGCUGGAAACAGAAGGGGCUGGGAAGCUGGUCCAGGGACUGAGUCACACGAGGGCAGUCUGGAAACAAAGUUUGUAUGCACACGGAGGACAGCUUAAGACAUUGGUAGGGAAGGGGGUGGAGCCUUUAACUUCUUAUGUAACUAAGUCAUGGAGCUGCUCCAUUGAAAACAAGAAAAAUACAAUAACCACUAAUAGUCAUUUGUCCUUGAAAACUGUAGCCACUAGUGAGAACAUAGAUUUUUUUAAUUCUAUCUGGUGACCUGCAAUCAAUACAGAUCCUGCUCCUAUCUCAUUCAAGCUGCCCCUUUCCUAUGCUUCAGAUGUCCAUCUCUGGAUCUUUGCAGUCGCUGCUUCCCACUUUAUGGAGCUUCAACAGCAGCAAUGCUGAUUAUUCACACAUGCUCCCCCUGAUACUUAAAAGCCAGGCUCUAGCUUUUAUGUGAUUAUUUGUUGACAGCAGUGUCAACAUGUAUCUCAUUUUGAAAAAAAUCUAAAUCAAGAUCUCUUAAGAAAUAAUUUGAUAUUAUUCAAGACCUUCCUCCCAUCUCUUCUCGGAAUGUGUUAAUAUACAAGAGCAAUACAUGUUUUGCUCUUUAGUAUUUGUUUGGUGUUUCACUUGCCCAUUCACUCCUUCAAGAAACAUUACUGCAUACGCAUUAUACCCUAGGCUCUGUGCUGAACACUGGAGGUAUAAAGAGAGUGAACGAUUCAAACAGCCCCAGAGCAGAGAGAAGUGCAUGACUAAUUAUAAUGUAAUUUAAAGGCCUUACGGGAUCAUCCCCAGCACUGUGAAACUGGAGGAAGAAGCAGCAUUCAAGUGAGUGAAUGUGUAUUUGGACUGAGCAAAGGGAAUAUUCUUCAAGAGAGAUUCAAAAGGCUUCUGAACGAGAUGAGUCAUAAAGGACAGCCAAGGCCUUAUCCAGGUGAGCAAUUUCUAGAAGGUGCAGCAAAACCUGGAGGCAUCAGAGAGCAGAACACAACUGCAGAACAGAGGACCCCAAGUGGCAGAGGCAAAGAAGUGAAAUAAUAAUUCAACUUAAAAAAAAUCUGGCCUAAUGACAACUUCAGUGGAUGGAUCACAUUACCUUGAUGCAUUCUUAUCAAUGCUUACAAAAGUUGUUCAUAUCAAAGGCACCCACCCACUGAUGUGCCAGGUCCAGAAUGCACCGCCUUGUCACUCCUGG